Long non-coding RNA from Anguilla rostrata (American eel), 821 nucleotides. RefSeq lists it as uncharacterized. The record is from RefSeq and is a predicted model, not a curated record. The transcript is spliced from 2 exons. NCBI's taxonomy places the organism in Eukaryota, Metazoa, Chordata, Actinopteri, Anguilliformes, Anguillidae.
GACACCCCGUAUUUAUAACUUCAGCUGAGGCUAAGCAGCCUCCUCAUCGUUUUGCACCGAUCCUUCUUGUUGAUAUUCAAUAGGUGCCUAGCAUGUUUAACCCCAAUUCAUCUGUGCUCCUUCCCUCACUCCAGACACCUAACUCUCAUCCACUGCAGGUGCAACCUGACUAAUCUGGUCUACUUCUUCAUGCAGAACCUGCUUGACCCUCACCAGACUGGCUUCUGAUCCGGGCACUUGACAGACUGCCCUCCUGGCUGUGAUGGAGGCACUUGCCACUGCAAGAGCCUUAUGCCGCCUCUGUCCUGAUUCUUACAUCUGUCUGCAGCAUUUGACAUGGUCGACGACUACUCUUCACUUUGGCUGAGAUGGGAAUUUCUGGGACUGUCCUCUUUUGAUUUGCUUCCUAUCUUGCAGAUGGGUCCUACCAGGUCACCUGGAUGGGGUCUAUCUGCUCCCCUCACCCUUGUGUAGGAUAUGUAGUGUUUAGAUUUUGGCCUUAGAGGGAAACGGUGAUUAAGAAUGUGGCCUGGCCUCCCCGUCACAAAAGCAUCUGCCAAAUUAAUGUAAUCAAAUUCAUUGUCAUCAGUCAUUGAUUGUCACCUGUCCGAUGGACUUUGUUUUCAGGAAAAAUGAUUGUUUCUUCAGUUAGUAUUGUUCAUCAAUUAAGUUACUGAAUGAUAUUUAUCCAAUUGUUUCUAAGAAUAUUAUUUACUUUAAGGAUAUAAGCAAAUGGGUAAGUAAUUUUGAAAUUUGGGCUUUCAGAAUAGUGUGAAAACAGCAAAUGCAAUUAAAAAAAUAAAUUAAAAAAAAAAAGCAAA